Molecule: ribosomal RNA, 212 nt
Filed under: Pseudo-nitzschia fraudulenta
Lineage: Eukaryota; Bacillariophyta; Bacillariophyceae; Bacillariales; Bacillariaceae
Description: partial Bacterial large subunit ribosomal RNA
Rfam family: Bacterial large subunit ribosomal RNA
Source: RNAcentral
GAGAGAACUCGGGUGAAGGAACUAGGCAAAAUGGCACCGUAACUUCGGGAGAAGGUGUGCCCCUGCUGGUGACCAAAGCGGAAUCAGCUGGUGGGGGUUGCAGUGACCAGGUGGUGGCGACUGUUUACCAAAAACAUAGCACUCUGCAAAACCGUGAGGUGAAGUAUAGGGUGUGACGCCUGCCCGGUGCUGGAAGGUUAAGAGGAGAGGUG